Molecule: ribosomal RNA, 919 nt
Filed under: uncultured bacterium
Lineage: Bacteria
Description: bacterial SSU rRNA
Rfam family: Bacterial small subunit ribosomal RNA
Source: RNAcentral
ACGCUGGCGGCGUGCUUAACACAUGCAAGUCGAACGCUGAAGCCCAGCUUGCUGGGUGGAUGAGUGGCGAACGGGUGAGUAACACGUGAGUAACCUGCCCCCUUCUUUGGGAUAACGCCCGGAAACGGGUGCUAAUACUGGAUAUUCACUGAUCUUCGCAUGGGGGUUGGUGGAAAGGUUUUUCUGGUGGGGGAUGGGCUCGCGGCCUAUCAGCUUGUUGGUGGGGUGAUGGCCUACCAAGGCUUUGACGGGUAGCCGGCCUGAGAGGGUGACCGGUCACAUUGGGACUGAGAUACGGCCCAGACUCCUACGGGAGGCAGCAGUGGGGAAUAUUGCACAAUGGGCGAAAGCCUGAUGCAGCGACGCCGCGUGAGGGAUGGAGGCCUUCGGGUUGUAAACCUCUUUCGCUCAUGGUCAAGCCGCAGCUUUGGGUUGUGGUGAGGGUAGUGGGUAAAGAAGCGCCGGCUAACUACGUGCCAGCAGCCGCGGUAAUACGUAGGGCGCGAGCGUUGUCCGGAAUUAUUGGGCGUAAAGGGCUUGUAGGCGGUUGGUCGCGUCUGCCGUGAAAUCCUCUGGCUUAACUGGGGGCGUGCGGUGGGUACGGGCUGACUUGAGUGCGGUAGGGGAGACUGGAACUCCUGGUGUAGCGGUGGAAUGCGCAGAUAUCAGGAAGAACACCGGUGGCGAAGGCGGGUCUCUGGGCCGUUACUGACGCUGAGGAGCGAAAGCGUGGGGAGCGAACAGGAUUAGAUACCCUGGUAGUCCACGCUGUAAACGUUGGGCACUAGGUGUGGGGGCCACCCGUGGUUUCUGCGCCGUAGCUAACGCUUUAAGUGCCCCGCCUGGGGAGUACGGCCGCAAGGCUAAAACUCAAAGGAAUUGACGGGGGCCCGCACAAGCGGCGGAGCAUGCGGAUUAA